AUUGAACGCUGGCGGCAUGCCUAACACAUGCAAGUCGAACGGUAACAGCUCUAGCUUGCUAGAGGCUGACGAGUGGCGGACGGGUGCGUAACACGUAGGAAUCUACCUUAAAGUGGGGGAUAACUCGGGGAAACUCGAGCUAAUACCGCAUAAUCCCUAAGGGGGAAAGGCCGCUUGCGGUCGCUUUUAGAUGAGCCUGCGUCCGAUUAGUUUGUUGGUGGGGUAAAGGCCUACCAAGACUACGAUCGGUAGCUGGUCUGAGAGGAUGAUCAGCCACACUGGGACUGAGACACGGCCCAG
This 300-nucleotide ribosomal RNA is filed under the name uncultured bacterium. RNAcentral describes it as "bacterial SSU rRNA". It matches the Rfam family "Bacterial small subunit ribosomal RNA", at positions 30 to 334 of the family's 1533-position model. The record is from RNAcentral.